AUUGGAGUGCCUGAUUAAAGGAUAAUUUUGAUAGGAUUAAUAAUGUGUGUCGAGCCUCACCUCCACUA
This 68-nucleotide transfer RNA is filed under the name Batocera lineolata. RNAcentral's name for it is "tRNA-Ile". The record is from RNAcentral. Lineage: Eukaryota; Metazoa; Arthropoda; Insecta; Coleoptera; Cerambycidae.